GAGCGUUCAUGCAUAAAUGUACUCAUGCAUUAAAGUAUUCUUGUUUAGUUCAGUAGAACAAUCAGGAGAUCAGGUUAUUAUGUUUCUAUGAUAUAGAGAACAUAUAUACAUGAAAGUAUUUCUAUUCAUAUUCAAUACAGUUGAAUGGCUUAUGAACAAGUGUAGGAUGCACUUUAAAGUAGAGAACAAUGAUAUUCUCCUGACUCUAAUAUAGAGAACUAUGCCAUGCUCAUGACUAUGUUGAUAGUGCCAUACUAGUGGAAAGAUUAUAAUGCUAUGUGAUUUAGCUUUACCCUUACAUGUUUACAAUCUAGUGGAUACUAGCUGUUGUUACUAUUUGUGUAUUGAUAUUCCGAUCAGAGGAUCGAGGGUUCUGAACUUUACAUGUGAACAUAUGAAAAUUGAGACAUGUGGAUAAUGGACUUUGCUUGCUUGCCAUCGUGCUCAUUCGCACACGCUUGUGAGGGUAGCUCCCUACAAGCCGGCACUCCGGAGUUGGCCUACGCGACAGUUGCUCGCCCGUGCGGGAUUGGGUGCCGAAGUGGAUUGCCGUGGGGAGUGUAUACUACCACGGGGCCAUUAGGCGCGGCGCAAGCUGGACUACCUUGAGUAGGUCCCUGUGAAUGAAAGGAAAGUGCUAAAGGAAAAUUGGACAGUAACGAAUAAUUACCAGUUACAGUGUACAGUAGUUACUUACACACUUAUGCUACGUUUAUGCUUAUAGUAGUAGCCAUGCUUCUAUCAUUCAGUUAAUUCAUUACUGUUGAUGCUAUGAUCACAUGUUGUUUACAUGUUCAUUAUUUGUUAACAUUGGCUUAUGAAUUGUUAGCAUUGAAAAUAUAUCAUGCAAAUUACUGCUUUUAUUUCCAUUCUGUACAUCUCGAGCCUAGUGGUGUAAUUCGCCGAGGCUGGCGGCUUACCCACUGGGAACUAUUGUUAAUAGUUCUCACGCCCUUUUGGUGGUUGUUUUUACAGAGCCUGUUACAGGAGAGGCUAGGGAUCGUGGCAAGGGAGUCGCGCCUAGCUAGGGACUACUAGGAGCGUGCUAGUCGAUCACCUUGUUACUCGGGCUACGACCGAGGGUGAUGUCCCUUUGUAUAGAGAAACCACCAUUGUAUCUAUCCUAUUUUUGUAUACUCGUGAUGUAUAUGUACUACUUGGACCGUGAACUACUGUUGUGAUACUUCUCUUCUGUCGAGAUUUUGGGAUUGUACACUCUUUGUUCUUUUGUUGAUGUAUAUAUCGACCUGUACAUUACUCUGAUAUCAGGAUAGGACUUUCUUUGUUUUACUUCCUAUCGACUUGUUGCUUGUAGACGCCUUAUAUACUGCAGGUGUAUGGCGGGUCUGUGCACGUGCCGG
This 1361-nucleotide long non-coding RNA is filed under the name Ananas comosus (pineapple). Its description in RNAcentral is "long non-coding RNA (ACOM_LNC038659)". The record is from RNAcentral. Lineage: Eukaryota; Viridiplantae; Streptophyta; Magnoliopsida; Poales; Bromeliaceae.